This is a long non-coding RNA of Lolium perenne, 251 nucleotides long. RefSeq lists it as uncharacterized. NCBI's taxonomy places the organism in Eukaryota, Viridiplantae, Streptophyta, Magnoliopsida, Poales, Poaceae. The record is from RefSeq and is a predicted model, not a curated record.
CCCAGGCCCUGCAAAGCCAGCCGGGUUUGUUACGGUAGUGGCUACAUUUAGCAGAGCUGCGCACCGGCGUCGCCAGGAGAGCGCCCUCCCCAGGCAGUCGACCGGCAGCCGCAGGUGAGCUCGCCGGCGUCGCCAGGAGAUAGAGCGCCGUCCCCACGCAGUCGACCGGCAGCCGCAGGUGAGCGCACCGGCGUCGGCAGGAGAGAGAGCACCGUCCCCACGCAGGCGACCGGCAGCCGCGCAGGUAUACG